AACGAACGCUGGCGGCAUGCCUAACACAUGCAAGUCGAACGAGACCUUCGGGUCUAGUGGCGCACGGGUGCGUAACGCGUGGGAACCUGCCCUUAGGUUCGGAAUAACUCCCCGAAAGGGGUGCUAAUACCGGAUAAUGUCUUCGGACCAAAGAUUUAUCGCCUUUGGAUGGGCCCGCGUUGGAUUAGCUAGUUGGUAGGGUAAAAGCCUACCAAGGCGACGAUCCAUAGCUGGUCUGAGAGGAUGAUCAGCCACACUGGGACUGAGACACGGCCCAGACUCCUACGGGGGGAAGCAGGGGGGAAAAUUGGACAAGGGGCAAAGGCCUGACCCAGAAAUGCCGGGUGAGGGAUGAAGGCCUUAGGGUUGAAAAGCUCUUUUACCCGGGAUGAAAAUAACAGAACCGGGGAAAUAAGCUCCGGCAAACUCCGU
RNAcentral lists this ribosomal RNA (432 nucleotides) under uncultured bacterium. RNAcentral describes it as "partial 16S ribosomal RNA". It matches the Rfam family "Bacterial small subunit ribosomal RNA", at positions 29 to 506 of the family's 1533-position model. The record is from RNAcentral.